UCCUCCGGACACUAUACCGGA
This 21-nucleotide unclassified non-coding RNA is filed under the name Chlamydomonas reinhardtii. Its description in RNAcentral is "small RNA Cre_2587". Lineage: Eukaryota; Viridiplantae; Chlorophyta; Chlorophyceae; Chlamydomonadales; Chlamydomonadaceae. The record is from RNAcentral.